GUGAGCAGACAGCAUGACAGCUAUUCAUUGUAACAUGCAAUGAUCAACUGUGAUGCAUCCUUGAGCCUGGCCAGAGGAUUGUUCCGUGUGUGAGGCCUUGUUGCUGGUUCACCUUGCCAUCUUUGCCGAAGAAUGAGUGAGAAUUAUCCAUAGAACUUGUAUGUCUUCACGGUCUUAUUCCAGCUCAAGUGGAAUGAAUUUCUCAAAAGUUAAAACUUGAACCACAGGCUUAGGCUGAAAUAGGAGUUUUUAACUCUCUGGUAAAAUAACACAGGAAAUUCAAAGAAAUUUCACCUGGAAAGAAAUCUCUAUAAAACAUAUCUGGGAAUCCAAUGAAGGAGUCGUAUUAGUAACUCUGCCUCAUAAUGUCGCUGCUGAGAGAGCUGAAUCUCAUCUAGAGAAACAGAGUCCCUAGGAGCUGGCUCGAGCCAUGGACAGGACCCAAGCUGCCUCAUCCAGGGGAGUCCCUCAGGGGCCUCACUGCUGCCUGACAAGCAAAUGAAGCCACAGAGGAAGUACGAAAGGCCUCCACAAAGCCAUCCCUUCUCACAACAAAGCCCCAAGCUCCCGUUUGCUCAUUGGAUUAACCCAAAGUCUCCAACUGCCUUCCCACAGCACCCUCCCUUGGAGAGUUCAUGCUCAGAGCCACCGAGUAAUUUUUAUUGUAUAGCAAGCAGUUGCUUAAAUAGGUUGUCUUCAAAUGGUCAUUAUCCAAGCCCGCCCCGCCCCCUCCACCUGCCACAAAUCUCCCCGGGGUAGGGGGGCAGGCCCUGGCAGCUGCCGCCCUGCCCGCCCCGCCCUCGCUGGCCCUCAUAAAUAAGCUCCAGUGUGAUCAAGGCCUGGAGAGGCCUGCAGCCACGGGAGUGGCCGCCUGCUCUGGACCUUCUGAGCAAGCGUUCCAGUGCUCUGGGGCACACUUAGCACUUUGGGCCUAGGGAGGCUGUGGGAAUGGGAUCAGAUUUCUUCCCCAGGGAAAUUACCCAAAUACAUUUUAAAAUUUAUAGUCUGUGUUGUGAUAAUAAAUAAAAAUAAAAUAUGCC
This is a non-coding RNA of Microcebus murinus (gray mouse lemur), 1040 nucleotides long. NCBI's taxonomy places the organism in Eukaryota, Metazoa, Chordata, Mammalia, Primates, Cheirogaleidae. The record is from RefSeq and is a predicted model, not a curated record.